RNAcentral lists this ribosomal RNA (504 nucleotides) under uncultured bacterium. RNAcentral's name for it is "partial 16S ribosomal RNA". It matches the Rfam family "Bacterial small subunit ribosomal RNA", at positions 29 to 523 of the family's 1533-position model. The record is from RNAcentral.
AUUGAACGCUGGCGGCAGGCCUAACACAUGCAAGUCGAACGGUAGCACAGAGAGCUUGCUCUCGGGUGACGAGUGGCGGACGGGUGAGUAACGUCUGGGAAACUGCCCGAUGGAGGGGGAUAACUACUGGAAACGGUAGCUAAUACCGCAUAACGUCGCAAGACCAAAGUGGGGGACCUUCGGGCCUCACACCAUCGGAUGUGCCCAGAUGGGAUUAGCUAGUAGGUGGGGUAAUGGCUCACCUAGGCGACGAUCCCUAGCUGGUCUGAGAGGAUGAGCGGGCACGCUGGAACUGAGACACGGUCCAGACGCCUACGGGAGGCAGCAGUGGGGAAUAUUGCACAAUGGGCGCAAGCCUGAUGCAGCCAUGCCGCGUGUAUGAAGAAGGCCUUCGGGUUGUAAAGUACUUUCAGCGGGGAGGAAGGCGGUGAAGUUAAUAACUUCACCGAUUGACGUUACCCGCAGAAGAAGCACCGGCUAACUCCGUGCCAGCCGCCGCGGUAA